Molecule: ribosomal RNA, 314 nt
Filed under: Phrynobatrachus natalensis (Natal puddle frog)
Lineage: Eukaryota; Metazoa; Chordata; Amphibia; Anura; Phrynobatrachidae
Description: partial 12S ribosomal RNA
Rfam family: Bacterial small subunit ribosomal RNA
Source: RNAcentral
CUUAAAACCCAAAGGAAUUGACGGUGUCCCACCCACCUAGAGGAGCCUGUCCCAUAAUCGAUUAUACCCGCUUUACCCUACCGCUUCUAUCCGAGUCAGUAUACCGCCGUCGUAAGUCUACCAUGUGAGUGAAAGUGGGCUAAAUAGCCUCCCCGCACAUACGUCAGGUCAGGGUGCAGCUUAUGGAGCGGAAGGCGAUGGGCUACAAUUUCUAACAUAGAACAUAACGGAAAACCUAAUGAAACCCAGAUAUUGAAGGUGGAUUUAGCAGUAAAAAGACAAUAGAGUCUUUUUAACAAGGCACUGGGACGUGU